This 446-nucleotide ribosomal RNA is filed under the name uncultured bacterium. RNAcentral describes it as "partial 16S ribosomal RNA". It matches the Rfam family "Bacterial small subunit ribosomal RNA", at positions 338 to 795 of the family's 1533-position model. The record is from RNAcentral.
CCUACGGGCGGCAGCAGUCGAGAAUCAUUCACAAUGGGGGAAACCCUGAUGGUGCGACGCCGCGUGGGGGAAUGAAGGUCUUCGGAUUGUAAACCCCUGUCAUGUGGGAGCAAAUUAAAAAGAUAGUACCACAAGAGGAAGAGACGGCUAACUCUGUGCCAGCAGCCGCGGUAAUACAGAGGUCUCAAGCGUUGUUCGGAAUCACUGGGCGUAAAGCGUGCGUAGGCUGUUUCGUAAGUCGUGUGUGAAAGGCGCGGGCUCAACCCGCGGACGGCACAUGAUACUGCGAGACUAGAGUAAUGGAGGGGGAACCGGAAUUCUCGGUGUAGCAGUGAAAUGCGGAGAUAGCGAGAGGAACACUCGUGGCGAAGGCGGGUUCCUGGACAUUAACUGACGCUGAGGCACGAAGGCCAGGGGAGCGAAAGGGAUUAGAUACCCCAGUAGUC